GAAAGAUGGAGGAAAGAGUUGAAACACCAACCUGAUAACACAAAUAACUGAAUUACAUUGGUCAUAACAGACAGAUCUAAGCCAAGUGGCCAGCCCAACAACAUUUACUUUGACCUUUUUGUUCCUUGAUUGUGGCAUUGUCUUUUAAUUACAUAUUAAUUAGAAAUUGAUAAGAACCUUGACACAGUCUGGUUGCUUCAGCAGCUCAAAUGCUUUAUUCAAAUCUUCCAAUGAAACCUCAUGAGUCAAAAGCUCAUCAAGGUGGAAUUCCUUAUUUUUGCAUUUGUCAAGUAUAGUUGGGAGAUCAGAUUUCACUUUCAGGCCUCCAAAUAGGCUACCUUUCAAACUACCACAACUUACAAAGGGUCUGAUGUUGAUCUGAACUCUUGUAUCAUAUCCUGCACCAACCGUGAUUGCUUUUCCUUUUCCCUGAAAACCCCACAAGACAACAACUUAUUAAUAUAUGUUAUCUCGAUUUUGUUAAUUUAAUGAUAUUAAAGUCAUAUCGGGAAUUAUCGCACAAUUUUUAAGGAUAGUAGAGCUUCAUCAAUCAAGCUAGCAACUCCAGUGCAUUCGAAGCAAUAAUCAACCCCCUUCCCACAAGUUAAGUCUCUUAUCAAUUCUGAAACAGAUUUAUCACCAGAGUCAUUAGGGUUUAUGAAAUCAGUCAUUCCAAAAGCUUGCCCCUUUUCUUUCUUCAUUCCAUUCUUGUCCAUGCCAAUUAUUUUUUGUGCCCCAGCUAUUCGUGCACCCUCUACCACCCCUAAUCCAACAGCGCCAAGGCCAAGCAACACUUGAUCCUUUCUCAACCUCAGCUUCCUUCCAAGCUGCCCCAAAUCCAGUUGAGAAUCCACAGGAGAUGAAGCUAGCAUGUGGUAGUGAUAUGCUUGAAUCAAUCUUGACAAUGUAGUUGACAUUCACAACAGUGUACUCAGACCACGUGGAGCAAGAAAACAAAUGGUAUAAUUUUUGACCUCUAAUGGACAUUCUGGAAGUGUUAUCAGGCAUCAGGCCACUGAUGGUUAAAGGGUAUUUUAGGCAAAAAUUGGUCCUCCCUGAUAUGCAAUAUUCGCAUUCUUGACACUCCCCAAUGAAUGUUGGAAUCACAACAUCUCCUUCCUUUAAGUCUUUGACUUCUUCACCAACGCUCUCCACAAUUCUUGGCAAAUGCAAUACAGAGGAAAGAAUCAAACAUUCUAUAUAACAUAUUAUACCCUUUUUCUUUUCCAAGGCAAAAGUUAAAGGAAAUUGCAGAUAUUUUAGGGGAUUACUUAGACGAGAAUAAUGCAUAAAGGGAGGGCUUACCCAACACCUUCAUGCCCAGGAACUCGAGGGAAAAGAGGCUGAAAGAAGAGAUUAAACAAACACAUAAGAAUAUUAACUCAACAAGGAGUCAUUAAUCAAAGAAACUCACAAAUAUGCCUUUGGAUUAAAUUAUAUCAGUGUGGCAGAUGCUAGCACAUAGCAUCUUAACUCUAACUUCUGAUGAUUUUGGUGCAUCUACUUGUAUCUCUUCCACCUUCACCGACAACUCCUCGCCUCCCCAGCAUACAGCAGCUACAAGAUACAUGAAAACGUAAGCAUAAACUGGUACUAGCUACAGAUUUUUUUGUUAGCUCCGUACCUUUGCAUGUUAUGACUUGAGAAGUGUUCUUGGACAUUGCCAUACGAGAAUGGUUUUGCUGCUGGCCGCCUGCAGAAUCAAUGGUGAACUUUGACUUUUGAGGUUGGGGCAAAGAAAAA
This 1743-nucleotide unclassified non-coding RNA is filed under the name Hevea brasiliensis (rubber tree). Lineage: Eukaryota; Viridiplantae; Streptophyta; Magnoliopsida; Malpighiales; Euphorbiaceae. The record is from RNAcentral.